This is a non-coding RNA of Callithrix jacchus (white-tufted-ear marmoset), 2448 nucleotides long. NCBI's taxonomy places the organism in Eukaryota, Metazoa, Chordata, Mammalia, Primates, Cebidae. The record is from RefSeq and is a predicted model, not a curated record.
AUGCGCUGGAGGAGAGCCCCGGGGGGCGGGGGAGUGUCGCUGGGAUGGGCCCUUAUGCACCAACAGACUCAGCAGAGCCGAAGCCAUCGUCACACUGACUCCUGGUUGCACACAAGUGAACUCAAUGAUGGCUAUGAUUGGGGUCAUCUUAAUCUUCAGUCAGUGACUAAACAGAGCUCUCUUGAUGACUUCCUUGCUACUGCCGAACUCGUAAGAACAGUUUGUUGCUGAGAAACUCAAUAUUAAGUUUGUGAUGGCUGAGGCUAGAACUUGACUGCUAUCUUUUGAGGAGAGCCAGAGAAUUAAGAAGCUCCAUGAACAAAACAAACAGUUCUCGUGUAAUACCAAGGAGACCAAACUGGGACAAAAAAACUAGCCCAGAAGAACUCAAACAGGCAGAGAAAGAUAAUUUUCUAGAAUGGAGACAUCAGCUUGUCCGGCUAGAAGAGGAACAAAAGCUGAUACUGACUCCAUUUGAACGAAAUUUGAACUUCUGGCGCCAGCCCUGGAGAGUCAUUGAGAGAAGUGAUAUUGUGGUCCAGACAGUAGAUGCUCGAAACCCACUCCUGUUUAGAUGUGAGGAUUUGGAAUAUUAUGUGAAAGAAAUGGAUGCCAAUAAGGAGAACAUCAUUCUGAUCAACAAGGCAGACUUGCCUACUGCUGAGCAGCAGCGCCUGGGCCACACACUUUGAAAAAGAAGACGUGAAGGUUAUUUUCUGGUCAGCUCUGGCCAGAGGCAUUCACCUGAACGCUGACUCUGAGGAAGAGGUAAACAGAGAUGAUAGACAAAGCAACACAAUUGAGUUUGAAAACUCCAGUUUCGACAAGGCUGAAAUUUCACACAAUGAGAUCAAACAUCUCCCAGCCAGGGACUCUCCUUCACUUAGUGAAAAUCCCACUACUGAUGAAGAGGACAGUGAGUAUGGGCACUGUCAGGAGGAAGAGGAAGAUGACUGGCAGACACGUUCAGAAGAAGACAGUCCUGAUGAAGAGGACUGUGGCCAGGACUGGAAGGAAAGCUAUAUGACAGAUUCUGAGGCUCCGGGCAGGAACACCCCACAGAAGAGACAGACACACAACUUUAGCCAUCUGGUAUCAAAGCAGGAGUUACUAGAGCUUUUUAAGGAGCUACAUACCGGGAAGAAGGUGAAAGAUGGGCAACUUACAGUCGGACUGGUGGGCUACCCUAAUGUUGGUAAGAGUUCAACAAUCAACACCAUCAUGGGCAACAAGAAAGUAUCUGUGUCUGCCACACCUGGUCACACGAAGCACUUUCAGACACUCUACGUGGAGCCUGGCCUCUGCCUAUGUGACUGCCUAGGUUUGGUGAUGCCAUCUUUUGUGUCCACCAAGGCAGAAAUGACUUGCAGCAGAAUCCUCCCAAUUGAUCAGAUGGGAGAUCUCGUUCCACCUGUAUCAUUAGUUUGCCAGAAUAUUCUAAGACAUGUUUUAGAAGUUACCUAUGGGAUGAAUAUCAUAAAGCCUAGAGAGGAUGAUGAUCCCCACCGACCUCCAACAUCAGAAGAACUGUUAACAGCUUAUGGAUAUAUGCGAGGAUUCAUGACAGCGCAUGGACAGUCAGACCAGCCUCGAUCUGCGCACUAUAUCCUGAAGGACUAUGUCAGUGGUAAGCUGCUGUACUGCCAUCCUCCCUCCUGGAAGAGAUCCUGUAACUUUUCGGAUCAACACCAGUGACUCCUAGAGAGCAAAACGAAUGGUGAUGAAAUAAAAAUGCAGCCAGGCAGAAAUAAAAAAAGCAAAGCAGAUUAAAAAUAUAGUUGAUAAAACUUUUUUCCAUCAAGAGAAUGUGAGAGCUUUGACCAAAGGAGUCCAGGCUGUGAUGGGUUACAAGCCCAGGAGCAGGGUAUUGACUGCGGCUACUGUGAGCUCUGAGAAUGGGGCAGAGAUGCCCUGGAAGAAACAUGGCAACAGAAAUAAAAAAGAAAAAAGUCAUAGACUCUAUAAGCACCUGGAAAUGUGAAGUUGGGCUACAACAGAAUGUCAUCUGCACUGUGCAGAUGGGAAAGAGCAGAAGCCGCUGGUUGCCUAUGGAACUGUUCCAAGACACUGGCACUGUAGAAGGGGCCUGCUCUUGUGGAGCACAGCUGCACCCAACAGUCUUCAAGUCAAGACUGAGGGCCUCCUGGAAACACCAGCUCUCACUAGAAGGAGUUAUUGGGGAGCCCCAGAAACUUACUCCAGCAGCACCCAGCAGUCUUCAUGUCAAGACUGAGGGCCUCCUGGAAACACCAACUCUCACUAAAAGGAGUUAUUGAGGAGCCCUAGAAACCUCCUGGCAGAGCAGUGCUUCAUGUGCCAACAUGGUGAAACUCCAGUGAACCUCCAUCUCUACAAAAAAUACAAAAAAAUUAGCUGGGUGUGGCAGCGUGCACCUGUAAUCCUAGCUACUCGGGAGGCUGAGGCAGGAGAAUCACUUGAACCUGGGAC